RNAcentral lists this ribosomal RNA (325 nucleotides) under uncultured bacterium. Its description in RNAcentral is "bacterial SSU rRNA". It matches the Rfam family "Bacterial small subunit ribosomal RNA", at positions 30 to 349 of the family's 1533-position model. The record is from RNAcentral.
AGCGAACGCUGGCGGCAUGCCUAACACAUGCAAGUCUGACGGGCCUGGGGCUUGCUCCGGGUCAGUGGCGGACGGGUGAGGAACGCGUAGGAACGUAUCCAAGGGUGGGGNGUAACCGGCGGAAACGUGCGGCUAAUACCGCAUGGGGCCGGCGGGGAGGACCGUGGGGCCGAAAGGCUGGGCAACCAAGUCGCCGAUGGAGCGGCCUGCGUCCGAUUAGCUAGUUGGUGGGGUGACGGCUUACCAAGGCUACGAUCGGUAGCUGGUCUGAGAGGAUGAUCAGCCACACUGGGACUGAGACACGGCCCAGACUCCUACGGGAGGC